GAUCCAUUGACAAGACUUUGGUCAGCCCAGGGCUGAACACUUGCCCAGAGUAGAAUUAAAGCCAGAACCAUGUGGCUGGGAAGCGAACUUGGCACGCAUUCAUAAAGUUUUGAUAGAACAAACAGGAUAAAAAGAACUCAAUAUAUGAGUAUAUGUAUUUUAGCAUUAUUUGUAACCAGCAGAGAAUUACACACUAGUGAUUUAAGAGCUGAGAAUUUAAUGCUGGGUACCUAUCAAACUACCCCUUUCAUAAGAUCCAUGAACGAAACUCUCAACUCUUUAGUAAUUUUUAUAACUUCCUACCGAUUAAAGUUAAUAAAACACAGGCGCACGUCGAAACUGCGGCUAGAGACAGAAAAGUUAUCUUCAUUGCAGCGAGAUACGAAUGUAUGGCUAAAGAUAGAAGGAAGGUAAUAUAGUCUUUGAACACCUCGCUCUGUCGAUGCGAUAAUUUCUUGGGUUGCUUGGUUAAAAGGUUCAACAAUUGUUUACAUCUGAAAAACGUAGUCGUUGCAGGAUCGACUAGUCACGACUUGCUAGAGCGGAUGCGCGAGUGCGCGUUCCGGGACCACUCUUCUUAAAUAGUACCAUGCUUUAAAAGUGAAAACAUAUGAGUUAUUGGACUGUGCCCAUGUUGCAGCACCACUUUGAGGAACUUUAGUCGAACAAAUCAAUUCCAAAAAUCAGAUGACAUUGGCAUAAGAGAAUUUUUUUUCUGUGGUUGCAUCAUCAAAAUUUAUCAUCUUUUAAAACUAAAGAAAGAUGUUACAUGAGAGAUGUUAUACCGAAGUACUGUGAAAUGUUUAUUCUGAGUGAGAUUAUUGUAAACACUGCUCUACUUUAUUAUCUGAAAUAUGCUCAAGAUAAUUUUGCAUUCUGAUUAAACUUGAUAAAUUUAUGAAGGAUUAUGUAUCAAUUUCAAGUAUCACAAUCAAAAAGAUUCCUAAUGUUGAUAUGAGCGGGAAAAAAAAUAUAUAAUGGAAAAUAAAACAUGUGAGAAACAGGUUAAAUGUAAAAAAAUAUCUGAAGGUAUUGGUUUUCAUGAUGAGAUGCUGAAAGAGACAACAAAAGCAUUUUACCACUGUGAUAUCUGUAAAAAGUCAUUUUCUCAAAAAGCUCACAUAACUAGGCACAAACGUAUUCAUACAGGGGAAAAGCCAUAUCACUGUGAUAUCUGUGCUAAAUCAUUCUCUCAGAGAUAUAGGCUAACUGG
Long non-coding RNA from Octopus sinensis (East Asian common octopus), 1213 nucleotides. RefSeq lists it as uncharacterized. The record is from RefSeq and is a predicted model, not a curated record. Lineage: Eukaryota; Metazoa; Mollusca; Cephalopoda; Octopoda; Octopodidae. The transcript is spliced from 4 exons.